This 421-nucleotide ribosomal RNA is filed under the name uncultured Glomeromycotina. Its description in RNAcentral is "SSU rRNA". It matches the Rfam family "Eukaryotic small subunit ribosomal RNA", at positions 671 to 1092 of the family's 1831-position model. Lineage: Eukaryota; Fungi; Glomeromycota. The record is from RNAcentral.
CGGUACGUACUGGCAUUGUUGGUUUCUCCCUUCUGACGAACCAUGAUGUCAUUUAUUUGGUGUUGUGGGGAAUCAGGACUGUUACUUUGAAAAAAUUAGAGUGUUUAAAGCAGGCUCACGCUUGAAUACAUUAGCAUGGAAUAAUGAAAUAGGACGUUUGAUUCUAUUUUGUUGGUUUCUAGGAUCGACGUAAUGAUUAAUAGGGAUAGUUGGGGGCAUUAGUAUUCAAUUGUCAGAGGUGAAAUUCUUGGAUUUAUUGAAGACUAACUACUGCGAAAGCAUUUGCCAAGGAUGUUUUCAUUAAUCAAGAACGAAAGUUAGGGGAUCGAAGACGAUCAGAUACCGUCGUAGUCUUAACCAUAAACUAUGCCGACUAGGGAUCGGAUGAUGUUAUUUUUAAUGACUCAUUCGGCGCCUUACG